This 450-nucleotide ribosomal RNA is filed under the name uncultured bacterium. Its description in RNAcentral is "partial 16S ribosomal RNA". It matches the Rfam family "Bacterial small subunit ribosomal RNA", at positions 354 to 796 of the family's 1533-position model. The record is from RNAcentral.
GUGGGGAAUAUUGGACAAUGGGCGAAAGCCUGAUCCAGCCAUGCCGCGUGUGUGAAGAAGGUCUUCGGAUUGUAAAGCACUUUAAGUUGGGAGGAAGGGCAGUAAGUUAAUACCUUGCUGUUUUGACUUUACCGACAGAAUAAGCACCGGCUAACUUCGUGCCAGCAGCCGCGGUAAUACGAAGGGUGCAAGCGUUAAUCGGAAUUACUGGGCGUAAAGCGCGCGUAGGUGGUUUUGUAAGUUGGAGGUGAAAUCCCCGGGCUCAACCUGGGAACUGCCUCCAAAACUGCAUGACUAGAGUACGGUAGAGGGUAGUGGAAUUUCCUGUGUAGCGGUGAAAUGCGUAGAUAUAGGAAGGAACACCAGUGGCGAAGGCGACUACCUGGACUGAUACUGACACUGAGGUGCGAAAGCGUGGGGAGCAAACAGGAUUAGAAACCCGUGUAGUCC